UAACUGUCUCUUACAGGCAAUCGGUGAAAUUGAUCUCCCUGUGCAAAAGCAGGGAUAACCACAUAAGACGAGAAGACCCUGUGGAACUUCAAAAACAGCAACCACCCCAACAUACAUUCACACCCACCCCGGGCGCACUUACCCCCCCAAAGCACUGGUUCGCAUUUUUUCGGUUGGGGCGACCUUGGAGCAAAACAAAACCUCCAAAAACUGGACCAUCCAUCCAAACUAAGAGCAACCCCUCAACGUGCCAAGAGCACCCAGACCCAAUAUAAUUGAUCAAUGGACCAAGCUACCCCAGGGAUAACAGCGCAAUCUCCUCCGAGAGUCCAUAUCGACAAGGAGGUUUACGACCUCGAUGUUGGAUCAGGACAUCCUAGUGGUGCAGCCGCUACUAAGGGUUCGUUUGUUCAACGAUUAACAGUCCUACGUGAUCUGAGUUCAGACCGGAGCAAUCCAGGUCGGUUUCCAUCUAUGAAGAACUCUUCCUCGUACGAAAGGAUCGGAAAAGUGAGGCCAAUACCACAAGCAAGCCUUCGCCUUAAGUAAUGAAACCAACUUAAUUACAAAAGGCUAUCACACUCCACCACGUCCUAGAAAAGG
This 603-nucleotide ribosomal RNA is filed under the name Mirafra javanica (Australian lark). RNAcentral's name for it is "partial 16S ribosomal RNA". It matches the Rfam family "Bacterial large subunit ribosomal RNA", at positions 2013 to 2833 of the family's 2925-position model. The record is from RNAcentral. Lineage: Eukaryota; Metazoa; Chordata; Aves; Passeriformes; Alaudidae.